UGGGAAUAUUGGGCAAUGGGCGAAAGCCUGACCCAGCAACGCCGCGUGAAGGAAGAAGGUUUUCGGAUUGUAAACUUCUGUCCUAAGUGACGAAGGAAGUGACGGUAGCUUAGGAGGAAGCCCCGGCUAACUACGUGCCAGCAGCCGCGGUAAUACGUAGGGGCGAGCGUUGUCCGGAAUGACUGGGCGUAAAGGGCGUGUAGGCGGCUUUUAAGUCUGAAGUGAAAGUCCUGCUUUCAAGGUGGGAAUUGCUUUGGAGACUGGAAGGCUUGAGUGCGGAAGAGGUAAGUGGAAUUCCCAGUGUAGCGGUGAAAUGCGUAGAGAUUGGGAGGAACACCAGUGGCGAAGGCGACUUACUGGGCCGUAACUGACGCUGAGGC
Molecule: ribosomal RNA, 380 nt
Filed under: uncultured bacterium
Lineage: Bacteria
Description: bacterial SSU rRNA
Rfam family: Bacterial small subunit ribosomal RNA
Source: RNAcentral